This is a non-coding RNA of Odocoileus virginianus texanus, 544 nucleotides long. NCBI's taxonomy places the organism in Eukaryota, Metazoa, Chordata, Mammalia, Artiodactyla, Cervidae. The record is from RefSeq and is a predicted model, not a curated record.
CAGUGGGAGCCAGUCAAGCAGAUUCGCAUCCGGGCUGUAGUCUCUGAGGAGCAGAAAGGAACCCGUGAUUAUGUAGUUACAGUAAGGUAGUGAGCACUAAACACAUGGCAAAUAUGAAGCACAUUGAAAUGGAGACGUGUCUUCGAGAUAAAGAGGAGAUCAGGAGCCAGUUUCCACUGGAAGAUGCUGGGUUGUGAUCCAGAGCAUGAAACACAAUAAAGAGAAGAGCCCAAGGAUUUGAGGGGAGGUUUGGAGCAUGGAGAUGGAGGAAUAUCACUCUGAGGAGAAGUGAAGAUGCUUCCUCCUCCCUGGUUCGCCUGAGUGUACAGUGUCCAGCGAAAGUGAUGAAGGGAUGGUGCUUGUCAAGUGUGCACAGGCAGUGGCAUCCUCACUUUUUGAACAUCUACAGAUGCUGUUGUAGAUGUUUUUUCAGCUCUCUCUUCACCAUAGACACAGCUUGGUAUACUUUGGCAGAACUUUUACCUCUUACUUCACCCUCAAAGAUGAAUAAGGCCAAGGUCAGCAAUGGUAUAAAUGGAAUGAA